RNAcentral lists this ribosomal RNA (3019 nucleotides) under bacterium. RNAcentral's name for it is "23S ribosomal RNA". It matches the Rfam family "Bacterial large subunit ribosomal RNA". The record is from RNAcentral.
CAUCAAGUUAGUAAGGGCAUACGGAGGAUGCCUUGGGGCAAGAAGCCGAUGAAGGACGCGGCAGGCGGCGAAACGCUCCGGGGAGGUGCGAGCAACCGAUGAUCCGGAGGUCUCCGAAUGGGGAAACCCGGCGCAGGGAAACCUGCGUCACCGCCCUCGUUAGAGGGCGGGGGGCACCGGGCGAACUGAAACAUCUUAGUAGCCCGAGGAAAAGAAAGCAACAGCGAUUCCCCGAGUAGCGGCGAGCGAAAGGGGAAGAGCCCAAACCCACUGGGUGCAAAAGGCUGUGGCCGUUGCUCAGUGGGGGUUGUAGGCAUCCGUCAUCCUGCUUCCACAGGAGCAGGGGGAAGUUACAAAGGACCUGCUUAGCCGAAGUGUCCUGGAAAGGCACGCCAUAGAGGGUGAUAGCCCCGUAGGCGAAAAGCAGUGUCCCUUCCCGACGGAUAGCCUGAGUACCCCGGGACACGUGAAACCCUGGGGGAAGCAGGGAGGACCACCUCCCAAGGCUAAAUACUUCUUGCCACCGAUAGCGCAUAGUACCGUGAGGGAAAGGUGAAAAGAACCCCGAAAGGGGAGUGAAAUAGAACCUGAAUCCGUAUGCCUACAAGCAGUAGGAGCCCUACGGCCCUAAAGAGGGUCAUGGGUGACUGCGUGCCUUUUGCAGAAUGAGCCGGGGAGUUGCUUGGUGUCGCUCAGGUUAAGCGCUUCAGGCGCGGAGCCGUAGCGAAAGCGAGUCCGAAUAGGGCGAAUGGGGGCUUUUGCUCCCAGGGUGGCACUAAGCAGACCCGAAACCGGGCGAUCUACCCAUGCCCAGGGUGAAAGAGGGGUAAAGCCCUCUGGAGGCCCGAACGGGUUAGGGGUGAAAACCUAUCCGAUGAGGUGUGGGUAGUGUGGGUGAAAUGCCAAUCGAGCCCGGAGAUAGCUGGUUCUCCCCGAAAUGCAUUUAGGUGCAGCCUCACGGGUUGAGUUUCGGAGGUAGAGCACUGGAUGGGCUAAGGGGCCUGCCAGCCUACUGAACCCAACCAAACUCCGAAUGCCGAAACUCGGACCGUGGGAGUGAGUCUACGGGGGACAAGCUCCGUAGGCGAGAGGGGAACAACCCAGACCGCCAGCUAAGGUCCCUAAGUCUCGGCUAAGUGGUAAAGGAGGUGGAACGGCGAAGACAGCCGGGAGGUUGGCUUAGAAGCAGCCAUCCUUUAAAGAGUGCGUAAUAGCUCACCGAGCAAGUCGUUCCGCGCCGAAAAUUCACGGGGCUUAAGCCGAGCACCGAAGCUGCGGGAGCUUCCUUUUAGGAAGCUCGGUAGGGGAGCGUUCCCUGUGCAGAGAAGGCUCAGCGUAAGCGGGGCUGGAGCGCAGGGAAGUGAGAAUCCCGGCAUGAGUAGCGAAAAGAGGAGUGGAAAUCUCCUCCGCCGAAAGCCUAAGGGUUCUCAGGGAAGGCUCGUCCACCUGAGGUUAGGCGGUCCUAAGCCGAGGCCGAAAGGCGUAGGUGAUGGGUAGCCGGUUGAUAUUCCGGCCCUUCCUCUGCGGCGUUAUGAGCUAUGGGGUGACGAAGGUUGGAGGGCUGUCACGCAGUUGGUUUUGCGUGUUCGCCUGUAGGCAAGGCGGGAUAGGAAAAUCCGUCCCGCGGCGGCUUUUCAGCCGCGACUUGCUGGCAGGCGAGGAGCAGCGGGGAAACCCAAUGCGAACCAGCCUGAAGACCUUCCAAGAAAAACCUCUAUGCCAGUCGCAGGGGAAACCGUACCCCAAACCGACACAGGUAGGCAGGCAGAGGAUGCCAAGGCGCGCGGGAUAACCCUCGCUAAGGAACUCGGCAAAUUGGCCCCGUAACUUCGGGAGAAGGGGUGCCCUUGGAGGUGGAUGGCUGAAACGCCAUCUGCUUCUGGGGGUCGCAGCGACAAGGCCCAGGGAACUGUUUAUCAAAAACACAGGUCCUCGCUCAACCCGAAAGGGGAUGUAUGAGGGCUGACGCCUGCCCAGUGCCAGAAGGUUAAGGGUGGAGGUUAGGAGGGUUUCUGCCCUCCGAGGCUUCUACCUUAAGCCCUGGUAAACGGCGGCCGUAACCCUAACGGUCCUAUGGUAGCGAAAUUCCUUGCCGGGUAAGUUCCGGCCCGCAUGAAAGGCGUAAUCACCUGGGCACUGUCUCGGCGAGGGACCCGGCGAAAUUGUGAAAUCCGUGAAGACGCGGAUUGCCUGCGGUGGGACGGAAAGACCCCGUGGAGCUUUACUGCAGCCUGGCGUUGGAUUUUGAGAUACUAUGUAGAGAAUAGGUGGGAGCCUUCGGGCGCCAGUGGAAUACCACCCUUAGUAUCCCGAAAUCCUAACCGAGGCCUAUCCGGCAACGGGACAGCGCUUGGUGGGCAGUUUGACUGGGGCGGUUGCCUCCUAAAAGGUAACGGAGGCGUCCAAAGGUCCCCUCAGCACGGUCGGAAAUCGUGCGUAGAGUAUAAGGGCAUAAGGGGGCCUGACUGCGAGGCCUAUAAGCCGAGCAGAGGCGAAAGCCGGGCCUAGUGAUCCCCUGGUGGCGCGUGGAAGCGCCAGGGCUCAUCAGAUAAAAGCUACCCCGGGGAUAACAGGCUGAUCUCCCCCAAGAGUCCACAUCGACGGGGAGGAUUGGCACCUCGAUGUCGGCUCAUCGCAUCCUGGGGCUGAAGAAGGUCCCAAGGGUUGGGCUGUUCGCCCAUUAAAGCGGUACGUGAGCUGGGUUCAGACCGUCGUGAGACAGGUCGGUCCCUAUCCUCCGCAGGCGCAGGAGACUUGAGGAGAGCCCUCCCUAGUACGAGAGGACCGGGAGGGACGGACCAAUGGUGUACCAGUUGUCUCGCCAGGGGCAAACGCUGGGUAGCCAUGUCCGGAAGGGAUAACCGCUGAAGGCAUCUAAGCGGGAAGCCCCCUCCAAGAUAAGGUCUCCCACUGGGUCAACCAGGUAAGACCGCGGCAAGAACAGCCGCUUGAUAGGCCAGAGGUGUAAGGCGGGCAACCGCUUUAGCCGACUGGUACUAAUCGGUCGAGGACUUGAUGC